RNAcentral lists this ribosomal RNA (700 nucleotides) under Enterobacter sp. 188C5. RNAcentral describes it as "bacterial SSU rRNA". It matches the Rfam family "Bacterial small subunit ribosomal RNA", at positions 173 to 870 of the family's 1533-position model. Lineage: Bacteria; Pseudomonadati; Pseudomonadota; Gammaproteobacteria; Enterobacterales; Enterobacteriaceae. The record is from RNAcentral.
GUCGCAAGACCAAAGAGGGGGACCUUCGGGCCUCUUGCCAUCAGAUGUGCCCAGAUGGGAUUAGCUAGUAGGUGGGGUAACGGCUCACCUAGGCGACGAUCCCUAGCUGGUCUGAGAGGAUGACCAGCCACACUGGAACUGAGACACGGUCCCCACUCCUACGGGAGGCAGCAGUGGGGAAUAUUGCACAAUGGGCGCAAGCCUGAUGCAGCCAUGCCGCGUGUAUGAAGAAGGCCUUCGGGUUGUAAAGUACUUUCAGCGGGGAGGAAGGUGUUGAGGUUAAUAACCUCAUCAAUUGACGUUACCCGCAAAAGAAGCACCGGCUAACUCCGUGCCAGCAGCCGCGGUAAUACGGAGGGUGCAAGCGUUAAUCGGAAUUACUGGGCGUAAAGCGCACGCAGGCGGUCUGUCAAGUCGGAUGUGAAAUCCCCGGGCUCAACCUGGGAACUGCAUUCGAAACUGGGACGCUAGAGUCUUGUAGAGGGGGGUAGAAUUCCAGGUGUAGCGGUGAAAUGCGUAGAGAUCUGGAGGAAUACCGGUGGCGAAAUCGGCCCCCUGGACAAAGACUGACGCUCACGUGCGAAAGCGUGUCGAUGACACAGGAUUAGAUACCCUGGUAGUCCACGCCUCUAAACGAUGUCGACUUUUCAGGGUGUGCCCUUGAGGUGUGGCCUCCCUCAGCUAAAGCUCUAAACUCGCA